AUGGGUACCCUGUCGCUGCUUCGUUUUUAUCAACAUCCGGUAAGCAGAACGGACAGAGAACUGUCCCGAUUUCUCGUAAUGCCAGGCCCAAAAGUCCUCCAUCCGCAUAGCAGCAAAAGUAGGCAUUUCUUUGAUACUUACUCACCUGUGGCUAGAUUUACCACCAUUCGAGUACUACUAUCACGGGCUGCCUCGCACGGUCUUCUCGUUCAUCAGAUGGGCAGCCGGCUUUCCUUAAUGGGGAGUUGGAUGAGGAAAUUUACAUGGAGCAGCCAGAUCAAGAGUACCCGCGCAUUCGCCUAA
RNAcentral lists this ribosomal RNA (303 nucleotides) under Triticum aestivum (bread wheat). RNAcentral describes it as "partial small subunit ribosomal RNA". Lineage: Eukaryota; Viridiplantae; Streptophyta; Magnoliopsida; Poales; Poaceae. The record is from RNAcentral.